CGGCCGUUCGUAAUUUUUAAAAUUAAAUUUUAUUGAUCGACAUAGCUAGGACUAUCAGAUCGAAAUGGUCUUUUAUGAUCACACUCUAACAAUUAUUAUUUAGAUAAUAAAUGAUGAAAAUAAAUUUUAAAUUUCAAAAUUAUAUCAUAUUUAAAAAAAAUAUGAAAAAAAAUUAUAUUCAUCCUAUAUAGCAGUGGUUGCACUAAACCACUGCUAUAAUCAGUUAUAGC
RNAcentral lists this long non-coding RNA (230 nucleotides) under Elaeis guineensis (African oil palm). RNAcentral's name for it is "long non-coding RNA (EGUI_LNC026068)". The record is from RNAcentral. Lineage: Eukaryota; Viridiplantae; Streptophyta; Magnoliopsida; Arecales; Arecaceae.